AAUUGACGGGACCCGCACAAGCAGCGGAGCGUGUGGUUUAAUUCGAGGCUACACGAAGAACCUUACCAGGGUUUGACAUGCAAGUGGUAGGAAUCCGAAAGGUGACCGACCCUUCGGGGAGCUUGCACAGGUGCUGCAUGGCUGUCGUCAGCUCGUGUCGUGAGAUGUUCGGUUAAGUCCGCUAACGAGCGCAACCCUCGUCGUGUGUUAUACGUGUCACACGAUACUGCCGGUAUCAAGCCGGAGGAAGGUGGGGAUGAUGUCAAGUCAGCAUGGCCUUUAUAUCCUGGGCUACACACACGCUACAAUGGCAGAUACAAUAGGUUGCGAAACCGCGAGGUGGAGCCAAUCCUCAAAGUCUGUCUCAGUUCAGAUUGCAGUCUGCAACUCGACUGCAUGAAGCCGGAGUUGCUAGUAACCGCAGGUCAGCAAUACUGCGGUGAAUACGUUCCCGGGUCUU
RNAcentral lists this ribosomal RNA (460 nucleotides) under uncultured Leptolinea sp. RNAcentral describes it as "bacterial SSU rRNA". It matches the Rfam family "Bacterial small subunit ribosomal RNA", at positions 908 to 1382 of the family's 1533-position model. Lineage: Bacteria; Bacillati; Chloroflexota; Anaerolineae; Anaerolineales; Anaerolineaceae. The record is from RNAcentral.